CCUACGGGGGGCUGCAGUGGGGAAUGUUGGACAAUGGGCGCAAGCCUGAUCCAGCUAUUCCGCGUGUGGGAUGACGGCCCUCGGGUUGUAAACCACUUUAGUAGAGAACGAAAAGGAGCGAUCGAAGAAAUAGCUCUGCUGACGGUACUCGAAGAAGAAGCACCGGCUAACUACGUGCCAGCAGCCGCGGUAAGACGUAGGGGGCGAGCGUUAAUCGUAAUUACUGGGCGUAAAGGGUGUGAAGGCGGCGGCGUAAGACAGAUGUGAACUCCCCGGGCUUAACCUGGGAACCGCAUAUGUGACUUCUUGGCUAGAGUGCGUCAGAGGGAGGUGGAAUUCCACGUGUAGCCGU
RNAcentral lists this ribosomal RNA (352 nucleotides) under uncultured bacterium. RNAcentral describes it as "partial 16S ribosomal RNA". It matches the Rfam family "Bacterial small subunit ribosomal RNA", at positions 338 to 682 of the family's 1533-position model. The record is from RNAcentral.